RNAcentral lists this ribosomal RNA (468 nucleotides) under uncultured Pseudomonas sp. Its description in RNAcentral is "bacterial SSU rRNA". It matches the Rfam family "Bacterial small subunit ribosomal RNA", at positions 916 to 1381 of the family's 1533-position model. The record is from RNAcentral. Lineage: Bacteria; Pseudomonadati; Pseudomonadota; Gammaproteobacteria; Pseudomonadales; Pseudomonadaceae.
GACGGGGCCCGCACAAGCGGUGAGCAUGUGGUUUAAUUCGAAGCAACGCGAAGAACCUUACCAGGCCUUGACAUGCAGAGAACUUUCCAGAGAUGGAUUGGUGCCCUUCGGGAACUCUGACACAGGUGCUGCAUGGCUGUCGUCAGCUCGUGUCGUGAGAUGUUGGGUUAAGUCCCGCAACGAGCGCAACCCUCGUGUUUAGUUGCUAACAGUUCGGCUGAGAACUCUAAACAGACUGCCUACGCAAGUAGGAGGAAGGUGAGGACGACGUCAAGUCAUCAUGGCCCUUACGGCCAGGGCUACACACGUGCUACAAUGGGGUAUACAAAGAGCAGCGAUACGGUGACGUGGAGCAAAUCUAGAAAAUGCCUCUCAGUUCGGAUUGUAGUCUGCAACUCGACUACAUGAAGUUGGAAUCGCUAGUAAUCGUAGAUCAGCAAUGCUACGGUGAAUACGUUCCCGGGUCUU